UGGAUCCAGACUUUGAUCAUGGCUCAGGAUGAACGCUGGCGGCGUGCUUAACACAUGCAAGUCGAACGGAGGACCCUUGAAGGAGUUUUCGGACAACGGAUAGGAAUCCUUAGUGGCGGACGGGUGAGUAACGCGUGAGCAAUCUGCCUUGGAGUGGGGAAUAACAGCUGGAAACAGCUGCUAAUACCGCAUGAAACAGCUGAGUCGCAUGGCUCUGGCUGUCAAAGAUUUAUCGCUCUGAGAUGAGCUCGCGUCUGAUUAGCUAGUUGGCGGGGCAAUGGCCCACCAAGGCGACGAUCAGUAGCCGGACUGAGAGGUUGGCCGGCCACAUUGGGACUGAGACACGGCCCAGACUCCUACGGGAGGCAGCAGUGGGGAAUAUUGGGCAAUGGGCGCAAGCCUGACCCAGCAACGCCGCGUGAAGGAAGAAGGCUUUCGGGUUGUAAACUUCUUUUCUCAGGGACGAAGCAAGUGACGGUACCUGAGGAAUAAGCCACGGCUAACUACGUGCCAGCAGCCGCGGUAAUACGUAGGUGGCAAGCGUUAUCCGGAUUUACUGGGUGUAAAGGGCGUGUAGGCGGGAAAGCAAGUCAGAUGUGAAAACCAUGGGCUCAACCCAUGGCCUGCAUUUGAAACUGUUUUUCUUGAGUACUGGAGAGGCAGACGGAAUUCCUAGUGUAGCGGUGAAAUGCGUAGAUAUUAGGAGGAACACCAGUGGCGAAGGCGGUCUGCUGGACAGCAACUGACGCUGAGGCGCGAAAGCGUGGGGAGCAAACAGGAUUAGAUACCCUGGUAGUCCACGCUGUAAACGAUGGAUACUAGGUGUGGGGGGACUGACCCCCUCCGUGCCGCAGUUAACACAAUAAGUAUCCCACCUGGGGAGUACGAUCGCAAGGUUGCAACUCAAAUGAAUUGACGGA
This 920-nucleotide ribosomal RNA is filed under the name uncultured Bacillota bacterium. Its description in RNAcentral is "bacterial SSU rRNA". It matches the Rfam family "Bacterial small subunit ribosomal RNA", at positions 1 to 917 of the family's 1533-position model. The record is from RNAcentral. Lineage: Bacteria; Bacillati; Bacillota.